UUUAAGACGCACAAUAUUAUCUUUACAGAAAAUGGCCAAUAACACUGAUUAAUCCUUUCAGUGAUGUCGCAAUGAAAAAGGAGCCUAUAAAACGAACAGCCCCUAGAUGAGGAACGCCUCACAACAUUAACGGAGCACACAUGUCUAAAGUUUGAGAAGCGUAUUCACUUCCACAAAGUCGACGGUCGGCCCAUACAGCUGAGGAGAAAAAGACGAAAUGCAUCCAACCCAGUUCCAUAAGAUGAAACGGAGACACAAGUUAAAAAAAAAUCAACAAAACCCUCGGAGGAAUGACAACAAUUUCAGAUCACAGCAUCCUGAAGAGAACGAAAACUGGGAAAAGGAGAUAGAGGAGUGUGCACGCUCCAAUGAAUUUAAAGACCAACCCCCUUAUGAUUCUGGAGAUGAACUGAAUACAACUGAGAUGAUUUCGUGUGAUGUCCAAAAUAGCGCAAACAUAAACCACCAAGACCACUACAUCCCAGCAGCUCACCACACACACCCUGUAAAAUGGGUCCGCUAUAUUUAUGCCAAAGUGGCUGACCAGUUUUCUGAUGCUGAAGAAUAAGGCUGUCUACUGUUACAUGUUUUGUUUUUACUAGAAUAUUUUAUUUCUUAAUUUGAAGAUUACAAUUUUACUGUUUUUAAGUUUAUAAAUGUUUUAAGUUUAUAAAUACAGAGUUAAUGAAAAUGUUCAGUUUAUAAAUACAGAGUUAAUGAAAAUGUUCAUUUAAAGAAGUGGUUCAACCAAAUAUGAAAACUCUCUCAUAGUUUACCCACUGGUAUUACAUCCUAGAUGUAUAUAACUUCCUUUCUUUGGUUAAACACAAAUUAAUAAUUUCAUGUUAAAAUGUUGGCAUGUUAUUUUUGCACACAGGGUUCAAUGGUGAAACUGCAAAAAACAUAUUAAUGUAUUUAAAAUGACUUAAAUGGGUUAAUACAUUUAUUCUAAAGCAAAAUCAUAUCUUUGUGUGAGAAAACAUCAGGUUUUAUUUGGCGAAUGGACAGCACAUAUUCAAUGAGAUAUAACAUUAUAAACACGCAGCCAUUUUUGGACUUACUGCUCUCAAUUAUAUGUGUAAAGUCAAAGAAUGUAUUGAUGGUAGGUAAAUUAUGAGAGAGUUUUUAUAUUCUGAUGAAAUAUUUAUAUUACUAUGUUUUUGUUUUUAGUGACAUCUCAUUGUCUAAAAUUAAGUUAACAAUUGUAAACAAGAAUGUUGAUCAAUUCAUUGCUUAACACCAUAAUACUUCUGUACUGCUAAUUUACGUUUCCAUGUUAGUCAAGGUAUAGUUGAGAAUUUAAAGUGGUUCAUGUAAAUCAAAAAAAAAAUUUGAAUUAACUAAUGUUCUUGAAGUUUACGGCACAAUAAAAUCCUGAAAUGUAA
Molecule: long non-coding RNA, 1385 nt
Organism: Triplophysa dalaica
Lineage: Eukaryota; Metazoa; Chordata; Actinopteri; Cypriniformes; Nemacheilidae
Exons: 3
Source: RefSeq, a predicted model, not a curated record